RNAcentral lists this transfer-messenger RNA (334 nucleotides) under fish gut metagenome. It matches the Rfam family "transfer-messenger RNA". From Rfam's summary of the family: Bacterial tmRNA, also known as 10Sa RNA or SsrA, is named for its dual tRNA and mRNA-like properties. Its role is to liberate the mRNA from a stalled ribosome. To accomplish this part of the tmRNA is used as a reading frame that ends in a translation stop signal. The record is from RNAcentral.
GUAAAGGUUUCGACAGGGAUUCUGAAGCUGGUGAAGCGAGUCGCAGGGUGAUGCGUUAAAUUCCAAACUUAAAUUUAAACGCUAACGAUAAUUUAGCUUACGCAGCCUAAUCGCUGCGAGUCCGCCUGAUUGCACCUACACGAACAGAUACGGGCUUCAAACAUGUAGGAAACGACUGCGCAUAAGCUUUGCUGCGUAGGACGUAUCAUGAAGCUACUAAAGCCGUAAGGGUGUCUCUUCCCGUGCGGUGGAGGGAAUGUCAGUAAAGUGACUACACUCGUAGAAGAACAGGGGAUGGGUUUUUGGACACGGGUUCAAUUCCCGUCUAGUCCAC